Molecule: long non-coding RNA, 466 nt
Filed under: Citrus sinensis (sweet orange)
Lineage: Eukaryota; Viridiplantae; Streptophyta; Magnoliopsida; Sapindales; Rutaceae
Description: long non-coding RNA (CSIN_LNC003387)
Source: RNAcentral
AAUACCCAAAAUGCACAAAUUCGGUUUUGUAAAAUAAUGAGUGAAAUGGAUUAUUUUAAACCGAUUAUAUUGAUCCAAGAGAUGAUUUAAGAUAAUGGAUGGUGUUGAUAUGAACUCCGUAUUAUCUCCAUAAUUGUUCUUACAUCUCUUGGCAACUUGUUUGCUCAUGAUAUAUUACCAUCCACCAUUGUUGGAACAAAAACAAGCUUAAAGAUUCAAUUUCGGGUUUACAAAAAUUGAGUGAAAUGGAUUUGUUUGAGCCAAGAAAAUCGAUCCUAGAGAUGAAUGAAGCUAAUAUAUGAUGUAGAUUGGAUAAAAAAUGGGCUAAAGGAAGCUUGAAAAUAUAGAGAGAGAAACGGGUAGUUAGGUUUUUGAUUUUGGGUUUUAUGUGGAGAGUUGAUGAAAUGAAGUUUUGAGAACGAAAAUUGAAGGAGUAAUGGAUGAAUAAUGAGUUGUAUGAUUGAUU